Molecule: ribosomal RNA, 197 nt
Filed under: uncultured bacterium
Lineage: Bacteria
Description: partial 16S ribosomal RNA
Rfam family: Bacterial small subunit ribosomal RNA
Source: RNAcentral
UCUGCAACUCGACUACAUGAAGCUGGAAUCGCUAGUAAUCGCGAAUCAGAAUGUCGCGGUGAAUACGUUCCCGGGUCUUGUACACACCGCCCGUCACACCAUGGGAGUCAGUAACGCCCGAAGCCGGUGACCCAACCAAACGGAGGGAGCCGUCGAAGGUGGGACCGAUAACUGGGGUGAAGUCGUAACAAGGUACC